UUUUCGCUGGCAACGGCCCGACCAUUAUUGGAAAUCAAAUCAAUUUUUGAUCAUUGGGGUUUCGACGAUUCAAAAGCUCUCUCUUACAUAUGCAAAUUGCAAGCCAUUUCUUCAUAAUCGAUCCCAAAUUAAGAUAUUAUUGACAUCCUCAGCUACCCACCAUCAAUUGAAGGGUAAAGUUCGCUUUCGAGAAGUUUUAGAUGCCCAGCACUUGCCCCUGUUUGUGAUUCUUCUAGGAUUCUCUUUCACCAAUGUUGAGUCGCAGGAGUAAUAGCUCUAGCUCAUCUGAUUUAGAGGAACUUCUAGAGAUUGAGUCAAGAUGUCGACAGCUCAAGAAAGAAAAGGAGACACUAAUAGGUUCACGGCCACAAAGCUUUGAACUGAUAAGGCGGCUGGAACUACAUGCGAACUCUUUAUCAGAAGCACGCCAGGAAGACAAGCUACGCAUUGAAAAAUUGGAGAAGGAGUUGACAAACUGCACUCAGGAAAUAGAUCACCUGCAGGAUCAACUAUGUACAAGGAACGCAGAAUUAAACUACCUUGUAGAUCACGUUGAGAACCUUGAAUUCAAAUUAGUUCAUAUGGAGCGUUUGCAAGAAAAGGCUGUCAAGUUAGAGGAAGAGGUGAAGCGUUCGAACUCAGAGUGCCUCUUCUUGAAGCAGAAACUAGUUUACAAGGAAAAGGAGCUACAAGAAUCACAUUCCAAUAUGGAAAAACUUGAGGAGUCGAUUUCAUCUAUGACAUUGGAGUCUCAAUGUGAAAUUGAGAGUAUGAAAUUGGAUAUGGCGGCCAUGGAGCAAUGUUACUUGGAAAAUAAGAAAGUCCAGGAAGAAGCUCUUCAUCUAAAUGAUAAAAUUGAUCGAUUAAUUGGGGAGCUUCAGAAUGCAAAGAAAAAUACUGAGUCUCUGGAGAAGGAAAAUAAGGAACUUCAAAGAGAGCUGGAUAUAUCGACAAGAAAUGCCUCCACAUUUUGUCGAAGGAUUGAGGAAUUGAUUGAAAACAAGGAGAGAUCACGAAAUACUCUGUGUUUCUCGAACGACGGAGAUAGCGAGUUAGCAACAUUACUUGAUAUUAGUUGUGGCGAAGACUCAGGCCAUCAUCUUCCGAAGUUAGCAGGUGCACCAUUUGCAGAUGAAAAUUCAGAAGUCAAAAUGGAUGUGAUGGCAAAGCAGAUACAAGAUUAUGAACUUCUUGUAAAGCAACUCAAGGAGGAGCUAAGAGAGGAGAAGUUGAAAGCAAAAGAAGAAGCAGAGGACCUUGCUCAAGAAAUGGCUGAGCUAAGGUACCAAAUUACUGGUUUGCUUGAAGAAGAGUGCAAGCGCCGGGCUUGCAUUGAACAGGCAUCUUUACAGAGAAUUGCCCAGUUAGAGGCACAGGUUUUAAAAGAACAAAGUAGGUCAUUUUCUAUUGCUAGGCGUAUGUACGAAAUAUAGUAGUUGGGAGUAUGAAUCAAAAGCUGCUCGUGGAAGAGUGUCGAUCAAAGCUUACUUUCUGAGAACCUUUGGUACUGAACUGGUGAAUUUGACUGCAAAACCAGUGGCUCCUAUGUUUUCAUCUUGGUUUUCCCAGAUAAUGUCGUAUCCAAAAUGAAAAACUUUGCAACCCCAACUUUUUACCAACAACUCAGCCAAUUCAGCUUCUUACAGAGAAAACACGCAUGCUUGUGUAGAAGACGAUACAGAAAGAUAGUAGGUUCCAUGAAUAGAGUUGACUAUAGGUUGUUCAACAAGCUGCAAUCAGAAAUACUUAGUAGAUGUGCUUUGCACAGUUACUUCCUAGCAGCUCUGGUUUUGAAGCUGCCCUUUCUCAAGAGUAAUAUGAUUUUGAACUUUGUGUGUAUUACAGAGUGUUGGUUUGGUUUGUCAGAAUCUGGUCACUGUUGUAAAUAUUAUGCAUUUGUAAUGUGGGAAGUUUUGUUUGCAACCAUUCCAUGUUUUACUUC
Molecule: RNA transcript, 1942 nt
Organism: Cucurbita maxima (winter squash)
Lineage: Eukaryota; Viridiplantae; Streptophyta; Magnoliopsida; Cucurbitales; Cucurbitaceae
Gene name: cilia- and flagella-associated protein 58-like
Exons: 9
Source: RefSeq, a predicted model, not a curated record